UCUCAUUACAGGGCAUUAGGAGAAACAGGCAAAUAUACAGCUAUUAAAAUUAAUCGCCUUGCGCCGUCAGAUGAACAUAAUAGAAAUUAUUUAUAGGCUGCCUACAAUGCGUUUAUCGUCAUGGAGGCUAGAGGUGCUGGGUGCGGGUGAGCAGAGAAAAAUAUGCGCAGGCUACAAUAAAGGACAGCUGUACGGAUCUGCGCUAGAUCUUAAGGGAGCGCUGGAAAGUAAUGAGACCAGAGAGACUAGCAGGAGCCCUUGUGGGAGAUACCUCAGCUCGGUUAGUGACAAAGGACUUAGCUUGUACUGGCUACAAGUCCAACUUUAAGCUUAGAGUCCAAACACUGCAGGUCAGCAAAGGUUGUGAGUAUGUGACCUCAACCGGUUAGGCGAAGAGUAAACUGCAGACAUUUUUCAGAUGACUAUACGUAGAGCUACAUAAGCAAAUAUAAAACCUAGGCUUUGUGCUAAGUGGUCUCAAAUAUCCACUCUAGUGGAUUUCUCUAGCAGGCAAAGUCCCGGCUUGCUGGUGUGCAGCAAUGCAGAAACUAGGAGACUUUAAGCAUCUAAGAAACAAAUUACGUCUUAAAAUAGCUAGGAGAAAGGCCGCAGAUUUUGCUGACGUUCUAACGUCCUUUAUAAAUAACAGUGACUGUCACGGAGGGGACGCAGGAGUGGUCGGAAGAAGAGAACUGGUUCAGAGGGACUUCGGCCUAUACAGACAGCCAGCUGCCCACACACAGUACACAAAGGUGAUGACCAGCUGAGAAAAAAAUGGACCCCCCUUUCUGAACAGCCCCCCAGUAAUUAACACGGAAGUGAUUCGGAGCUCUGUACUAGUCUGCUCGGCCCUUACGCGGCUGUGCAGCGUGGACACACCCCGGAGAGCCGACACCGUCUGGAACUGCUGCGUCCAAGGCCGGGACCGGGCAGAUUAACAGCAGCUCCCGCGCCUGGAGCUCCCUCCCUUCUCCCGCAGGCGCCAGCAGCGAUCCGGAGGGGCAGGAGGCGGAGCCAUAGCGCUAGGCACCGGCGCGCAGGGUAGCGAACUGCUCCUCGUUAACGUAGCCCCGGCGCUAAGCGCGAUGCCUUUGCGCUCCUGGGAGCUCGGGGAGGGCUAGCGCCGGAUGCGCCCCCUGGGGCUGGGCGGCUCCACACCGCCCCCAGCGCAAGGCUGUGACUGCGGAGCACAAGCCGGCCCCGGCCGUUUGCGAGCUGGCGCCCUUCCGCGGCAGUAACGAUGCCGAGCUUCACCCCGGCAUCCAAACACACACUCGCUAAGGUCCGUUAACAAGGCAGCGGCUGGAAGGUGCAGGGAAAAACACGGAGGCGUUUGCGAUGAGAGCGGCUCCGAGCGCGGUUUAACUACCCGGGGAACAGGGUUGUGCCUCGAGCACUUGCAAUCGACCAUGCAGCUUAUCGGAGCACUGCGCGAGGCCUCCUCCCGAGCCGCACCCAGGGCCGGGCGGGGGAAACCCGGGAACCGUCGCUCGGGCCUGUGCUUGGAGCCACCGCGCGCUCCUCGGAGCCGGCUGCUCGGCCCGUUCGAGCUGCCUGCUGCCAGCCAGUCGGUGUGCGCUCGGGGGGGCGGGGGGGGUGUCAAGCGGUGCAAUGGGCGGCUCGCCCAGCGGGUUCCCUACCCCGCCAGAAGGACGUGUGCCAAGGGAGCUCUGCCCUCUCCUGCCUGCAAAGGUACAAGAUUCUUCACAGAGGGGUGUGGAGAGUAGCACGCAGCACCCCCGGGACCUGCUCCAGCUCUGCGACACACGCCCCCCCGCCCCUUCCCGGCAUUACUUAAACCCAGACUCUGCACACAGCGGAUUAUGCCUUCUGCGCUCAAAUCCAAGCGCCUCCUGGCUCCGGCUCGCUCCGCCAAUCCUUUCUCCCUCGUGCUCCCUUGGCUGGCUGUGCCUCCUGCGAGAAGCGCUGGGAGAGACGCCAGCAGCGCCCGAGGCGCAGCCCGAGGCAGCAGCAGCUGAGCCCCCGGACAUAUCUGAGGGUGGGUCUAAGGUCUGGUCACAUCAGCCGAGAGACAGGUCGGGGUCAUUCCUCACGGGCGCCCCCCCCCCCCGCCAUUCCUCCCGGAGCGUCCCAGCCGUGCGGACACACCGGGCUGGGAUACACAACUUGCAGAAUGGUCGGGCCGGGAGGACGCCUGCGGCUGGCAGGAAUAGGCUCCCCGGAACCGCGGACAAGCGCGAUCCUACUCCCAUUCAAGCCCCUGGGGCUUUGGCCAUUGACUUGGAUAGGAGCAGGGUCUGUCCCGGAACCUGAGAGACGGAUGGUCUCGGACUCCGGCUCUGACACGGUGUCUCCCCUGCGGAGCCAAUGGCUGAAGCAGCCCUUAUUACCCUGCGGUGGAGACAGUCUCACGCCGUUGUUUGGAUUCAACCUGCGCUGAGAACUGUGAUAAACGGUGCCUCUGGCGGGGCACUCGCUACUUUUUAAACGGCAUUAUCUCGCCUAUAAGAACUGGUUUGUUUUGAAUACAAAGCUGUUUACCGAGCAUUUAUCCAGCCAUUUAUGAUCGCAGGGAGUACAUCUUAGCGGGGAGUAAUCCCCUUACAAAGCCGCAGGUUUAUUUUUACUAGGGGCAAAAAGGGGUCUAAACCCACCUAUACUUGUUUGUUUGUGGGGUGGUGAGUUUUCCCUGGAAUCAAGCCUACGCAGAACAACAGAUUCCCCCCAAGAUUUUACAGAAGAAGUCCCCUCCUGGCUCAAGGCCGUAUGUGGCAAAUUUUAGACUCGAGAGAGGUUUUAUUGCAGAGUAAUUAUCCUCGAUCCCCUUCCUGGUAGAGGUUUAUAAGUGAAAACGCUGCCAGAACGCUAUUUAGUGUAGCGAAGGCGAAACUGCAGUCAAGAGGCUGCUGGGUUUACACGCCCCCUGUUGGAA
Long non-coding RNA from Mauremys reevesii (Reeves's turtle), 2893 nucleotides. RefSeq lists it as uncharacterized. The transcript has 3 exons. Lineage: Eukaryota; Metazoa; Chordata; Testudines; Geoemydidae. The record is from RefSeq and is a predicted model, not a curated record.